Triticum aestivum (bread wheat) is the source of this 4828-nucleotide long non-coding RNA. RefSeq lists it as uncharacterized. NCBI's taxonomy places the organism in Eukaryota, Viridiplantae, Streptophyta, Magnoliopsida, Poales, Poaceae. The record is from RefSeq and is a predicted model, not a curated record. The transcript has 3 exons.
GCCGUGGGCCGUCGUCCACAUCACAACUCUCUGCUGCCUCCACCGGGACCACCAGCAGCAGCAGCGGCCGCCGCGGCGCACGGGCGGCCGCGCCUCCGCUCGCUGCCAGCGCGGCAGUUCCCCGCCGACCUCCGCAUUCCCCUAGGUUCGUACUCCUCCGCGCGUCCUCUUGGGAACUAUUAGGAACUGGCGCGAAGAUUACCUGAUGCGCGUGUUCUUUAGGAGCUCAGGGAUUUGGGUCGCCUACUAUUACUCUACUCUGUAGUUUUUAUCCCCGUGAUGCAAAAUGAGCGCAAGCAGUUCCUAGUUAAACGUACCUCCAGCUUACUGAAUUGCUCGAAUGAGGCCUGGAAUGUACGGCAGAAUCUGAUCUACGAGUAUAUGACAGGAUUUCUGUGUACUGUUCAUACGGCAGGGCUUCUUCUACAUUAUACUCAAAAUUGGAGAUGGUGUUUGCUGAUUUUGGUCCUUUGGGCUUUGUCUCCAUAGUAGUAUUGCAGGUUUUCUGCUCAUGGCUUAUGUACAGGCUCAUUUCCUUUUUCUUUUACGCGCCGGCUUGACCUCAUCAAGUGACAAGUGAGAAUCUGAGGUGAGAUGGCAUGUGGUUUUCCCCCUGUUCUCUCCAUGCUCCAUCAAGAGAUAUUUGCAGAUUUUAGGGUGCCCUGAUAUUUGUAUGAUUCUAGUAAUGCCUUUUUUGCGAGCUUGUUACAUUGCUUUCUUCUGGUUGCUGGUAGCAUGAAAAGCGCAUGAUCUAGUUCAGAAAAGUGCAUAGCCUGAUUCUUGAAAUAAUUUCAUUAUUGCUCUACCCAUGUGAUAUAUGUUUGGGUCUAAUGUGGCUAGUCCGUACGACUCAUGCACUCGUGGGGGCAAGCAGAGACAAUAAUGAGAUUUUGUCCUAUUAAGCAUUGUUGAUAUAUGACCACCGAAUUUGCUGAGCAUUAUUGGAGGGGUACAUUUCAUGGCAUGACUCAUACCUGACAUUUUCCUUGUGUGAUCUACAAGGAUACGGAGGCUGAUCUUGCUAUAGAAUCGUACUCGAACCUACAUAAUAAGCAUGAUUUUCUCUCUGUACAUUGAAAUGUUGGUAUGAGUCAGGAAUUUUUUUGGAGUAUGAAUUCAUAUUGUAAUGUUCACAUCUAGUCUUCUGUUGUUUACUUUAUUCUGAGAUUGUACUAUUUUUUUUAAAGUGCAAUACAUUGAGUGCUAAAAUUGCAGUUUCUGUGGUUGUUGAUGGAAGAUACUGGCCAUGCUCAGAAAAGUGCAAACUCUAUAUAUUCUAGUAAGACAUAUGUUCUGUUAUACUCCCUCCGUUUUUAUUUCCUCUGCAUAUUAGAGUUGACUGAAGUCAAACUUCUUAAAAUUUGACCAAGUUUAUAGAAACGAAUAUAAAUAGAUAUCAUAACAAAUUUAUAUGAUGUGAAAGUACAUUCAAUAAUAAAUCUAAUGGUAUUGAAUUGUUAUUGUAUAUGUUCAUAUUUUUGUCUAUAAAUUUAGUCAAAGUUUACAAAGCUUGACUUUGACCAAAGCUAAUACGCGGAGUAAAUAAAAACGGAGGGAGUACUUCUAUAUAAUAACCAUGGUUGGUAAAGAUUCAGACCAAUAGUGGGUUGACCUGUAACUAGUAAUGUUCAAGGCAGCGUGGCGGAAUGACUGGAUGUUGACCUGGGAUCAGCUUCUCAGUUCCAUUGUUUUAUAUACACAGACUCUGCAGAUUAACUUUGUAUGCGAAUUAUUUGUUAGACAUCCCCACACUCACACCAAAAAAAUUGGAUUGAAGAAUGCACACCAUUGCUUCUUAGUUCUUUCGCAUCAAGGCAAAUGGUAAAAAGGUGUUUCAACAGGAAUGCUGAAUAACCCCUAUUACUUGAUGCAUUUUUAUGUUGCUGAUGAAUAGUUUGAAAGGUGACAACACCUCAGUUAAGUACCAGUUCAUUUUCUCUAGUAAUCAAAAGUAAAUAGCUAUAUGUAUCUCCUUAAUAAUUAUAGCUGUGUAAUAGGGUAUUAUCAUCACCAGGCCUAAGUUUAACUAAAAUCGAUCAUGCUCAGAGGUUAUGAAUUCUGAUAACUACUCAUUUUAGUCAGAGUUAGGUUGCACACUGCUUUUCAAGUUAGGCAAUACCGUGCUACUUCAAUUAAACCAAGCUUUCUGUUUAGCUGGAAUCCCCAGUCUGGACAACCGCUUCCUGGUGUUUUCUGUAAAGUAUUCAACGAAGUUAUCAACCUUUUCAAAAUACCAUGAUGUGAAACUGUAUGCAUUUGGCUCUGUAUUCCACAUGGGCGUCAUUCCCAUACUAAUGCAAAAUUAUUGCUCAUGGUGCUAUAUAUUAUGAUUUGUCAUUUGCCUAAUGAGGCUGAGGUUGUAAGAUAUGGCUUGUGCCAGAGUUCAACCAUCAGUGGCUUGGUGCGAUGUGUUUGUCGUUGCAGUUGGUUGUGUUUAUAGCUGCCACCUCAGCUGAUACUUGGCUAUGAUGGACAGUCCAAAUUGCAGUAUCAGAGGCACAUGCUCACACAUGGAUGGGCUCCAUGUGUUUCAGUAAAGUCAUGCAGCCCCCUGGAGUUGUACCAUUAAGGUACAGGGGACCUUGACAAAUACAUCUGGCUGUGCCUCAUUUUCAGGGUACUUCCUGAAAGAUUUGUCAAGACAGGGCUAGGAUGGGGGGCAGGCAUUUAUGUUGUUUAAAUUAUUAAAUGUUAUGUUAGUUUUAGAUUGGUACCGCAUGAGUGCCCCUACACCAUAAUUUUCCUCCUUUUUUGAAAAGUAGCUUGCACCUCACAAAGUAAGAAGAAAUGUUGCUGUUGCCCUUAAUUUAUGCUUUGCAUAACUGCAUUCUUAAGCAAGUGUGCAGAUUGAUUUUCCUGAUAUUUCUGUUGCUAGUUUGACGAAGGGAGCUUGAUUGAUCUACGGCCAUGUGUAGUGUUUUGUGAUUUUAGAAAAUGGAAGAUGAAAAGGGAAAUAUGAGAUGCUCGUGUGAAAUUAUUGCAUUAUUAAUUUAUGUAGAAGCUAUAAUGCCAACAAUUGAGUGAUGUACAUGUAGCGUCUGGCAUAUGAAGUUGUGCAAAAAACCCAAGCAUCACAUAUGCAAUAUGUCAGGCUUGCAGCUCAGUAGUACAAUUAUGAGCAGUAGUAAUGGGUCUUUUUUCUGGGCGAGCUGGCAAAAUAUUUGGCAUGGCUAUGCUGGAAAUAGUGAAUCUGACGACUGGGGCCAGCUUAGCUGGUUUAUUCCCACACUCAAAGAGAAAGUGAGCUGAAAAGAAUUGAUGCCAAGCUACAGAAGUACUGCAGCAUAUUAAAGAAAUGUAUUGGCCUUGGAGCUUAGCGGACCAGACAUCAAGUCAAGUAUUGGUUCAGUCAAGCUUCUUAUGACAAAAGCAUAAGAUGAAUACCACACAAGAUCAUGGUUUCACGAGAUAUGCUUGCUUCACAUCAUCUGCUAUUCAUGGUGGAACGAUCACUGGAUGUGUUGUACUUGUAUGGAGUAAUUAUGGUGUGCAUGUGGGCUUAUCAGAGAAGGAUUGUUACUAGGACCGGAGGCAUGCCUGAGUUGCUUGGACAUAGACAUGUGAUGCUGGUACGCUAUGAUAUGGAUGUGUCAAUAAGAAAAUACUAGCAGGUUCAACAUGUAAUUUUGUUCUCAUGUUCUCUAUUUUAGUCGAGUGCAGUUCAAUGACAAUUAUGUUGCACUGAAACAGACAAUUAUCAAACUGCAAAGAACCUAUUGUCUUUCUCAUGCCUGAUGUCCAUCAUGUCAGUAAAAUGUGUUGCUUCUUUUGGAAAAUAGUGAAACCACUCCUUGGCAUGUGUCGUACCAUUUAAUAUGUUUCAGUUCAGUAGUUCUGAUUGUGUUGCCUUGCACUCUUGACUCUUGCUACUCCAUGUUGCAUAACCUCAAGUACAUGUCAUACUAAGACCCUUGCUAACAGAGAUUUUCGUGGGUGACAGAUGUUACAUUACCUCUGUGCAAUGCUGUUCAGGGCGUGAUGGUAUGCACCUAUUAGAAUCUGAAGUUAAAACAUAAUGUAGACUAUUCUAGAAAUGGACAUGAUAUAAUGGAUAUGGUAAGUUAUUAAACUCCUCUAAUUGUCCUUUCACUUGGCCAGCCGUCAUGGUGUAUCCACCAAAGUUUGUUCAGCAUUAUUGCAGUUCUGUUACGUGUUGCUGUCGGACACCUGUUUUUUAGGGGUUCACAUGAGGAGUUAGACUUCAAAGUAGCAAGUGGGCAUGUCGGUUAGUGCUGAUCUGGAGAGAGACCAUUCAAGACUUAUUUCCUUGCUGAUAGCUGAGAAACCUGAGAAAUAUUGACGAACAUUGAUUCUUGGAUGCUUCACAAAUGGGACUGUACUAAAGCAUUAUGCCCCCUGUAUGCAUACAGACUACCGAUCGCUAUGAGCCCCAAGGCUAUAUAUAAACAAACCAGCAAGGCACUGCACUGCGCAGAUGUCUUCCGAUGUCGUUCUUGCUCGCCUGCGUUUGCUGCUAGCUCCAAACAAGUGCUCUUGUCCUAAUCACAAUCAUCGAACGGCCAGCAUUAUUUGCAAUGAUCAGAGGAAAUGUCCGUGCAUGUGGUCUUCGCCAGCUUGCGUCGUGCAAAUUAAAUUGAACUGCAGAUUGACGGCAAUCUAUCUAUCACUGUGGCCGUGUGCCAGAUACUGCACUCGUAUAGUCCUAUGCUUAUCAUGAUUGGAGAAGGGUAAGGGUUAUAUUCCUCGGUUUGAAACUUCUAAGAGCAUCUCCUAGGUGGUCUAUGGAUGCCGGUGUAACUUUUGUUACUUGUGUAUUUGUACUGCCAUGACAUUUAAAAAAUAGACCAGACAUGUUUCCUUUGCCGGA